RNAcentral lists this ribosomal RNA (254 nucleotides) under uncultured bacterium. RNAcentral describes it as "partial 16S ribosomal RNA". It matches the Rfam family "Bacterial small subunit ribosomal RNA", at positions 524 to 776 of the family's 1533-position model. The record is from RNAcentral.
UACGAAGGGGGCUAGCGUUGUUCGGAAUUACUGGGCGUAAAGCGCGUGUAGGCGGGUCUUUAAGUCAGGGGUGAAAUGCCAAGGCUCAACCUUGGAACUGCCUUUGAUACUGGAGACCUUGAGUCCGGGAGAGGUGAGUGGAAUUGCGAGUGUAGAGGUGAAAUUCGUAGAUAUUCGCAAGAACACCAGUGGCGAAGGCGGCGAUCUGGGAAGAUACUGACGCUGAGGUGCGAAAGCGUGGGGGAGCAAACAGG